This 253-nucleotide ribosomal RNA is filed under the name uncultured bacterium. Its description in RNAcentral is "partial 16S ribosomal RNA". It matches the Rfam family "Bacterial small subunit ribosomal RNA", at positions 524 to 776 of the family's 1533-position model. The record is from RNAcentral.
UACGUAGGCAGCAAGCGUUGUUCGGAGUUACUGGGCGUAAAGAGUAUGUAGGCGGUUGGGUAAGUUUGGUGUGAAAUCUCCCGGCUUAACUGGGAGGGUGCGCUAAAGACUGCCUGGCUCGAGUGUGGGAGAGGAAAGCGGAAUUCCUGGUGUAGCGGUGAAAUGCGUAGAUAUCAGGAGGAACACCUGCGGUGUAGACGGCUUUCUGGGCCAUAACUGACGCUGAGAUACGAAAGCGUGGGUAGCAAACAGG